This 1700-nucleotide long non-coding RNA is filed under the name Struthio camelus australis. RNAcentral describes it as "lncRNA (ENSSCUG00000003932.1)". Lineage: Eukaryota; Metazoa; Chordata; Aves; Struthioniformes; Struthionidae. The record is from RNAcentral.
AUGGUCAGUCCCCAAAACGCAGCUGCUGAACAUGGUCCUGCACCCUGCAGUAUCGUCUGCAAGAGGCUGCGACAGGCACGUUCGCGCCAGAUGUCGGGUCUGUGUCCCUGCCGCCGGGUGCCCACCUUGCCCAUUUCGUACCGAGACACGUUCAGGGCACAGUUCCUCCAUCUCACUGCAGAAGACAUGGCCCGGCUCCGGAUGUGUGCUAGCAAACAGCCUUUUUCGAUAGGACUUAUUGAAACUAGACAAAGAGACAAACGGGUCUGGAGUAGUGAGCAGCCCGUGACCUCUCUAACUUUGAGGAAGGAAAACCACUGUCAAAAGUGCAGCUGAGCUGAGGAGGGUUAGACACACACCAGGAGCCACGGCGCUGCCGGCGUCUCCCGUGCAGAUGUACAGCGAGGGCUCCUGACGGGCGCGCACCAGCAUUUGGCCUCCCUGAGAAACAACUUCUCGGGCAUCUAAAUGUUUUCUUUGUCCAAACCAAGCGCCCAAAGAUAAUUGAUUAAUUAAGCACCUUUUAGCAACUGUAGCUUUUUCUGGCAGAAAUGCAUCUGAAGAGCUUGCCUGAGGGCCUGAUCCUCCUGAGGCUUCGUGCCCCGAAAUGCUGUGAUUGCUGCCUUGCACCAUCAGCCUCGGUGAGAUCUUCCCCGAACCUGGGAUUGGAGCCAGGCUGGCAUGUGUUAGCCUGAUCGCGGCUGCUGUCUGCAGGCAGUAAUAACCCUCGCUAAGAUGUGUGGUUUGAACAAAACGCAGGCAGGCCCUGGAGUGCGGUAUUUGAGGCAUGAAUGCCUAAAGCACAUAAGCGACUCUGCUCCUUGCUGUGCUCCUGACGCUGGCAGUGUAGAGUCUGAACAGGAGUAAAACACAGUAGCUCAUAAAGCAGCAUAUGGAUAGACCGCAAAUGGAUAGUUUUAUGUCCUGUGCAAUAUUUUCAUUGAUAUUUAUUUUGAUUUAAUUUGGCUAAUGUGCAAGAAAAAUGAAAAUGUACUGUGCUCUUCAACAUCUGAUGAGGACCUGAAUGCUUUUUAAACUUAGUGUUAGCGCACAGGCAGCGAUCUCUAAGGUCUGCCUGGCAGCUCUGCUUGAAAAUCAUGAGUUGCUCCACGUAAGUCAUGGAACGACCCUCAGAUCAGCACGAUUUUAAAAAAUGUUGAAAUGUUUCUAUUAGCUUUAUAGUAUUCUAGUCUUCCUGCUUCAGCCUUUUGUCCAUAACUUAAUUCUCCUUUUAAUGAAAAUGGAGUUUCCCACACUUCCAAAGUACUUCGAAGAUGUGUUAAAAAAGUGUCAAAUACCAUGAGAUUCAUGAUAAAAUGGUGAGAGAUGGCAACGCUCCGUAUCUCCACUUUGUCAGAAGAGAGACUGAAGCCGAGCUAGGAAAGGACAGGAAUGAUGGGCCACUAAUUGUAGCAGAAGCUUUGGAGACCAGGCUACAAAUCUCUGCCAAAGACUUCCUGCGUCAACGUGGACGAGUGACAUAAAUCUUCCUCUGUUGUAGUUACCGUCUGCAAAACGGGAUAAAAAGAUUCCAUUUCCUCCAAGGGGAUUUGGAGACAUAAAUGCAUUAAAAGAGGAAAAGUCCCGAAAAGCAGCAGAAAUGGCAGGGCAGCGUACAGUCUUUGGUCGAAGUCUGGAGAAGAACACAAAAAUAUUUCCCCAGAGAUGUUAACUGCAAAUAAAUUUUGUGUCUGCCUGCA